RNAcentral lists this non-coding RNA (265 nucleotides) under Rhodococcus rhodnii LMG 5362. RNAcentral's name for it is "Bacterial large subunit ribosomal RNA". It matches the Rfam family "Bacterial large subunit ribosomal RNA", at positions 1 to 262 of the family's 2925-position model. The record is from Rfam by way of RNAcentral. Lineage: Bacteria; Bacillati; Actinomycetota; Actinomycetes; Mycobacteriales; Nocardiaceae.
UAGUAAGUGUUUAAGAGCGUACGGUGGAUGCCUUGGCACCAGGAGCCGAUGAAGGACGUGGGAGGCUGCGAUAAGCCUCGGGGAGCUGUCAACCGAGCUGUGAUCCGAGGGUGUCCGAAUGGGGAAACCCAGCACGAGUGAUGUCGUGUUACCCGUGCCUGAAUGUAUAGGGCAUGUGGAGGGAACGUGGGGAAGUGAAACAUCUCAGUACCCACAGGAAGAGAAAACAACAUGUGAUUCCGUGAGUAGUGGCGAGCGAAAGCGG